CCCUAUGGAUCCGAAUAACCUCGGGAAACUGAGGCUAAUUCGGAAUAGGAUUCCCAGGCUGGAACUGCCGGGAAUUCGAAACGCUCCGGCGCCAUAGGAUGUGGCUGCGGCCGAUUAGGUAGACGGUGGGGUAACGGCCCACCGUGCCAAUAAUCGGUACGGGUUGUGAGAGCAAGAGCCCGGAGACGGUAUCUGAGACAAGAUACCGGGCCCUACGGGGCGCAGCAGGCGCGAAACCUUUACACUGCACGCCAGUGCGAUAAGGGGACUCCAAGUGCGAGGGCAUAUAGUCCUCGCUUUUCGCGACCGUAAGGUGGUCGCAGAAUAAGUGCUGGGCAAGACCGGUGCCAGCCGCCGCGGUAAUACCGGCAGCACGAGUGAUGACCGCUAUUAUUGGGCCUAAAGCGUCCGUAGCUGGCCAGCCAAGUCCAUCGGGAAAUCCGCGCGCUUAACGCGCGGGCGUCCGGUGGAAACUGGAUGGCUUGGGACCGGAAGACCAGAGGGGUACGUCCGGGGUAGGAGUGAAAUCCCGUAAUCCUGGACGGACCACCGGUGGCGAAAGCGCCUCUGGAAGACGGAUCCGACGGUGAGGGACGAAAGCUCGGGUCACGAACCGGAUUAGA
Molecule: ribosomal RNA, 623 nt
Filed under: halophilic archaeon
Lineage: Archaea; Methanobacteriati; Methanobacteriota; Halobacteria; Halobacteriales
Description: bacterial SSU rRNA
Rfam family: Archaeal small subunit ribosomal RNA
Source: RNAcentral